RNAcentral lists this ribosomal RNA (233 nucleotides) under uncultured bacterium. Its description in RNAcentral is "partial 16S ribosomal RNA". It matches the Rfam family "Bacterial small subunit ribosomal RNA", at positions 15 to 240 of the family's 1533-position model. The record is from RNAcentral.
GAUCAUAGCUCAGGAUGAACGCUAGCUACAGGCUUAACACAUGCAAGUCGAGGGGCAGCAUGAACUUAGCUUGCUAAAGUUUGAUGGCGACUGGCGCACGGGUGAGUAACACGUAUCCAACCUGCCGAUGACUCGGGGAUAGCCUUUCGAAAGAAGAUUAAUACCCGAUGGCAUAGUUCUUCCGCAUGGUAGAACUAUUAAAGAAUUUCGGUCAUCGAUGGGGAUGCGUUCCA